UGUGCCUACGGGGGGCAGCAGUGGGGGAUAUUGCACAAUGGGGGGAACCCUGAUGCAGCGACGCCGCGUGGGUGCCGCCGCGCCUCGGCGCGUCCCGCCCUGUCCGCAGGGCGGCAAAUGACGGUACCUGAAGAAGAAGCCCCGGCUAACUACGUGCCAGCAGCCGCGGUAAUACGUAGGGGGCUAGCGUUAUCCGGAUUUACUGGGGGUAAAGGGGGCGCAGACGGCGAUGCAAGCCAGGAGUGAAAGCCCGGGGCCCAACACCGG
Molecule: ribosomal RNA, 267 nt
Filed under: uncultured bacterium
Lineage: Bacteria
Description: partial 16S ribosomal RNA
Rfam family: Bacterial small subunit ribosomal RNA
Source: RNAcentral